Lethenteron reissneri (Far Eastern brook lamprey) is the source of this 66-nucleotide small nucleolar RNA. RefSeq annotates it as small nucleolar RNA SNORD82. The record is from RefSeq and is a predicted model, not a curated record. Lineage: Eukaryota; Metazoa; Chordata; Hyperoartia; Petromyzontiformes; Petromyzontidae.
GGCACGUGUGAUGAGUAGUUCAAGGGACUUAAUUCUGACUAUUGAUGAUGGAACUUACUGAUGUGC